CUGUAAAGCCGGUCUCUGGUGAGGG
This 25-nucleotide non-coding RNA is filed under the name Rattus norvegicus (Norway rat). Lineage: Eukaryota; Metazoa; Chordata; Mammalia; Rodentia; Muridae. The record is from RNAcentral.